RNAcentral lists this unclassified non-coding RNA (319 nucleotides) under Clostridioides difficile. RNAcentral's name for it is "16S-23S ribosomal RNA intergenic spacer (ISR)". Lineage: Bacteria; Bacillati; Bacillota; Clostridia; Peptostreptococcales; Peptostreptococcaceae. The record is from RNAcentral.
ACCUACUGUUUAAUUUUGAGGGUUCGUUUUUACGAAUACUCAAAAUUAGCACUUUAAGCAACGGGAUUUAUCCGUUGGCGCCGUGCUUUAGCACUUUUAGCAACAAAAUAAACUGAACGCAUGUGAAGUUUGUUUGUUGGCGCUGUGCAUUAGCACUUUAAGCAACGGAAUUUAUUCGUUGGCGCUGUGCGUUAGCACUUUGAAAACUGCAUAUAUAUUUAGUGAUAUGACAUCUAAUUUGUAAUAUAUAAAGCUGAUAACUUUUUAAGAUUAUCGAAGUUGAUAGCUUCUAAUCUAUCAAACCUUUUUAACUGGUCAA